Molecule: ribosomal RNA, 578 nt
Filed under: Vishniacozyma pseudocarnescens
Lineage: Eukaryota; Fungi; Basidiomycota; Tremellomycetes; Tremellales; Bulleribasidiaceae
Description: Vishniacozyma sp. HYZ-2023a partial large subunit ribosomal RNA
Rfam family: Eukaryotic large subunit ribosomal RNA
Source: RNAcentral
GAGGAAAAGAAACUAACUAGGAUUCCCUUAGUAACGGCGAGUGAACCGGGAUGAGCUCAAAUUUGAAAUCUGGCGUCUUUCAGGCGUCCGAGUUGUAAUCUAUAGAGGCGUUUUCCGCGCCGGACCGCGUCCAAGUCUCUUGGAAUAGAGUAUCAAAGAGGGUGACAAUCCCGUACUUGACGCGACAACCGGUGCUCUGUGAUACGUUCUCAAUGAGUCGAGUUGUUUGGGAAUGCAGCUCUAAAUGGGUGGUAAAUUCCAUCUAAGGCUAAAUAUUGGCGAGAGACCGAUAGCGAACAAGUACCGUGAGGGAAAGAUGAAAAGCACUUUGGAAAGAGAGUUAAACAGCACGUGAAAUUGUUAAAAGGGAAACGAUUGAAGUCAGUCGUGUGAGGGGUAUUCAGCCGUCUCUGGCGGUGUAUUUGCCUCUCACGGGUCAACAUCAGUUUGAUCCGGUAGAAAAAGGCGGGAGGAAGGUGGCACCCUCGGGUGUGUUAUAGCCUCCUGUCAUAUGUGCCGGACCAGACUGAGGAACGCAGCUUGCAGCAAUGCCGGGAUUCGUCCACGUACAAGCUAGG